RNAcentral lists this ribosomal RNA (384 nucleotides) under uncultured Alphaproteobacteria bacterium. Its description in RNAcentral is "bacterial SSU rRNA". It matches the Rfam family "Bacterial small subunit ribosomal RNA", at positions 9 to 419 of the family's 1533-position model. The record is from RNAcentral. Lineage: Bacteria; Pseudomonadati; Pseudomonadota; Alphaproteobacteria.
GAGUUUGAUCUUGGCUCAGAACGAACGCUGGCGGCAGGCUUAACACAUGCAAGUCGAACGGGUGUAGCAAUACAUCAGUGGCAGACGGGUGAGUAACACGUGGGAACCUUCCUAGGGGUACGGAACAACUCAGGGAAACUUGAGCUAAUACCGUAUACGUCCGUGAGGAGAAAGAUUUAUCGCCCUUAGACGGGCCCGCGUCGGAUUAGCUAGUUGGUGAGGUAACGGCCCACCAAGGCGACGAUCCGUAGCUGAUCUGAGAGGAUGAUCAGCCACACUGGGACUGAGACACGGCCCAGACUCCUACGGGAGGCAGCAGUGGGGAAUCUUGGACAAUGGGCGCAAGCCUGAUCCAGCCAUGCCGCGUGAGUGAAGAAGGCCUUC